This 490-nucleotide ribosomal RNA is filed under the name uncultured bacterium. RNAcentral describes it as "partial 16S ribosomal RNA". It matches the Rfam family "Bacterial small subunit ribosomal RNA", at positions 30 to 507 of the family's 1533-position model. The record is from RNAcentral.
AUUGAACGCUGGCGGCAGGCCUAACACAUGCAAGUCGAACGGUAACAGAAAGCAGCUUGCUGCUUUGCUGACGAGUGGCGGACGGGUGAGUAAUGUCUGGGAAACUGCCUGAUGGAGGGGGAUAACUACUGGAAACGGUAGCUAAUACCGCAUAACGUCGCAAGACCAAAGAGGGGGACCUUCGGGCCUCUUGCCAUCGGAUGUGCCCAGAUGGGAUUAGCUAGUAGGUGGGGUAACGGCUCACCUAGGCGACGAUCCCUAGCUGGUCUGAGAGGAUGACCAGCCACACUGGAACUGAGACACGGUCCAGACUCCUACGGGAGGCAGCAGCGGGGAAUAUUGCACAAUGGGCGCAAGCCUGAUGCAGCCGUGCCGCGUGUAUGAAGAAGGCCUUCGGGUUGUAAAGUACUUUCAGCGGGGAGGAAGGGAGUAAAGUUAAUACCUUUGCUCAUUGACGUUACCCGCAGAAGAAGCACCGGCUAACUCCGUG